CCAAUUUUGCCCUUUAAAUAAAUCCUCUCUCUUUGACUUGGCGAUGAACCCUAAAGAGUUGAAAGGUCAAAUUGAAGUGUCCAGAACAGUUGAAGAUUUGACAUUAUAGGUUCUUGGUGAUUAGUCUUAUAUGAUGCCUCCUAAUGGAAGAAAGAAUCGUCGAAGUUUAGGUCCUGACAUCAUCAGCAACCUUCCUGAUCAUGUAAUCGAUGCGUUUGCCUUGUAAAGAUGCUGUGAGGACAAGUAUCUUAUCGAAAAAAUGGAGGAAUCACUGGUGUAGACUUACAAAGUUGAAGCUUGAUGAAUCUCUUUGGAAAACAAAAAAGGAUAAACUAUACCCUAUAGUUAAAUUUACAAAGAUUAUUUACCAAAUUUUGACCCUUCAUGAAGGACCCAUUACUAAGUUCAAGCUUGACGUUGUUGAUUCGAAAGGAUGUCCUAUGAUUGACAACUUCAUAAAUUUCCUCUCGAGGAAUGACAUUCAACAUCUUGUUCUUCAAUUUCCAUGGCAUGAGAUAUACAAAAUGCCUUCUUCACUUUUCGAAUGUUCGCAGCUGAGACAUUUGACUCUUCAUGAUUGCUUAAUACAUCCUCCAUCGGCCUUUAAAGGAUUUGAUAAGUUAAUUAGCCUGGAACUAUGUAGAGUCACAAUUUCUUCUGAAUUGCUCGAAAGUUUAAUAUCUCAUUGCCCGUUGCUUGAGCAGUUGGUGCUGGAAAUCUCAGAAGUUGUAAACAGAAUAUAAAUUAAUGCCCCCAUGCUGAGAUCCUUUGAUUUCACAGGCAGUAUAAGUUCUCUCUGUCUAAAGAAUGUUCCUCUUCUGACAAAAGCAUCUCUGAACUUAUGUCAAGGUUCUUCUAUGGAAGCAGAGAACUUUUAUCUUGCAAAAUUUUUCGAGUCUUGUUUUGCUCUCGAGCACCUCUGAUUUAGUGGCAAGUUUGAUGAUGCAGAAGCAGAUGAAGCACCAACAAGGCUUCCCUUUGAUCAUAAUCGGGCCAAGCAUUUGUACGUGCCUCAUAUGAUUCUGAGGGAAUCAUAUGAGUUGUCAUAUUAUAUUUGCUUGAUAAGAAGCUUCCCAUACUUGGAAUCAUUCGAAACUGAGGUUCUUAAUCGACAUGAUAAUGUUGUUGUAGAAUCGCUUGAACUCGAACAUUUCUCGGAUGUGACAUUUAAUCUCCUCAAGGAAGUUAAGCUAAAAAUCUUUUCAGGAAUAACACAUGAAAUGCAGCUUAUCAAGCAUUUCUUAGCCAAGUCCCCAGUGUUGGUAAGAGUGCUAAUCGAUCCAUCGGAUCUAUGUAACAUAAAUCUCAUAUCUCUUGACAGAAGAUCAGAAAUAUUCGCUGAGUUCUCAAACUUUUUCCGUGCAUCACCUAAAGCAGAAGUAGUCUACAUGUAUUUAGAUAACGAAACAAGUAGAUUUAAUCAGAUCGUGAACUUCGACUGAAAUGUUUUGGAAGUUACAAUUGAACAGAUUGCAACAAACGCCGAUGUAGUAGUAUAACACUGUGUUUUGCCUUGUCGUAAUAGGAUGAAGAGACGAGUGAAUAUCUGUUUGGCAACAUGAGCAUUUUUGGAUGGAUGUUUGGAGUGGUUUGUUCUGUAUAACAUUGCCAUCAUAUGUUAAGGAUUUAUACAUUUAGUUGCCUGCUCAUGAAUGAUAUAUGGAAUGUGACAUACACAUGAAUUGAUACAGUGGAGGUAUUUUUCAAUAUAUUUUUUGAAUUAUGAUGUGGUUCAGGCUAGCUUGCGCGCACAUGUUUGUAUAUAGCAAGCUUGAAGCACUUUGCGGCUAUUGCCCGUAAGGUAGAAGCAUGGAGAUUUGAUAUUGGUAUGAAUUUUAUAGUUUCACUAGCUAGCACAUAUGCUUCAUUUUUGUUUUGUUGAAAAAAUUACUCAAUAGUAAUUAGUGCAUGUCUUGCGUCAAUAUAUGGAUAUCCUAAAGGCAAAUUACAUAAGUUGUCACCUGACCUAUGGCCCAAAUUCCCCCUUACACACUUUCCAUGGACGAUAAUAAUAUUGCACACGCAACCUUUCUAAAGUGUAUCUAGUACACACCUCCUUUGACCAGGUCUAAGCGUGUGUAACACAAAACGGUAGAAGCGCGUGGACAGUAGAAGUAGACAAUUUCUGACUUAAAUCAACGGCCAGAAACAAAUCCCAACGGCCAUUUUUAAAUAAAUAAAAGGGCCCUCAACCCAUUUCUUCUCAAAUUGGACCUGUAUUCACCUUCUUCCUCCUCCUUGAAAGCUCGAAGUUGCAGAAAAUUUCUUCUUCUUGACAUCUUCUUAUGCGUUUUUUUGUUGCCAAUAUUACAAUCUUCUUCUACUUCUUCCUUCUCUUUUUCGACAUUAGGGUUUAAUUUCUAGGGUUCAAUUUUAGGGUUAGGGAAAAUGCAUAAUCUGAGAAAAUUUUGUUAUUGUGGUGAAGAAGCUGUGGUGAUACAGUCAUGGAGUAUUGAUAAUCCUGGUCGUCGAUUUUACGGAUGUCCAUUUUAUGAGAGGGGCAGUCGCUCGGUAUGUAAUUUCUUUGUGUGGUUUGAUCCCCCACCUCCAGAACACUUGAAAAUUGUGAUUUUGGGGCUGCUUAAGAAGAAGAGGGCGUUUGAUGCAUUAUUGAAGGAAAAUAGGAAUCAAAGAAAUUGGAGGAGAUUGUGUGUGCUGAUUUUAAUUGUAAUUGUAUUGAAGUUGACUGUGUUUGGUUGUUCUAAAGAUUGCUAUAUAAUGUAAGAAAAUGAAUGAAGCUUUUUGGUGGAUUUUGUA
This is a non-coding RNA of Nicotiana tabacum (common tobacco), 2757 nucleotides long. The record is from RefSeq and is a predicted model, not a curated record. NCBI's taxonomy places the organism in Eukaryota, Viridiplantae, Streptophyta, Magnoliopsida, Solanales, Solanaceae.